Molecule: ribosomal RNA, 253 nt
Filed under: uncultured bacterium
Lineage: Bacteria
Description: partial 16S ribosomal RNA
Rfam family: Bacterial small subunit ribosomal RNA
Source: RNAcentral
UACGUAGGGUGCGAGCGUUGUCCGGAAUUAUUGGGCGUAAAGGGCUCGUAGGCGGUUUGUCGCGUCGGGAGUGAAAUCAUCUGGCUUAACUGGGUGCUUGCUUUCGAUACGGGCAGACUAGAGGUAUGCAGGGGAGAACGGAAUUCCUGGUGUAGCGGUGGAAUGCGCAGAUAUCAGGAGGAACACCAGUGGCGAAGGCGGGCAUCUGGGCCAACACUGACGCUGAGGCGCGAAAGCUAGGGGAGCAAACAGG